Molecule: ribosomal RNA, 216 nt
Filed under: uncultured fungus
Lineage: Eukaryota; Fungi
Description: partial small subunit ribosomal RNA
Rfam family: Eukaryotic small subunit ribosomal RNA
Source: RNAcentral
AGCAGCCGCGGUAAUUCCAGCUCCAAUAGCGUAUAUUAAAGUUGUUGCAGUUAAAAAGCUCGUAGUUGAAUUUCGGGAUCAGCAGGUCGGUCGUGCCAAUGGUAUGCACUGGCCUUGCUGAUUCCUCCCUCUUGAUGAGCCGUAAUGCCAUUAAUUUGGUGUUGCGGGGAAUCAGGACUGUUACUUUGAAAAAAUUAGAGUGUUUAAAGCAGGCAA